CAUUUUGUGGUGCAAUGGGUCGGUGCGUCCGGCUGAUAACCAGAAGAUCGGUGGUUCAAGCCCACCAAGGGAUGG
Non-coding RNA from Podarcis lilfordi (Lilford's wall lizard), 75 nucleotides. Lineage: Eukaryota; Metazoa; Chordata; Lepidosauria; Squamata; Lacertidae. The record is from the annotation of a GenBank genome assembly.